Long non-coding RNA from Gekko japonicus, 316 nucleotides. RefSeq lists it as uncharacterized. The record is from RefSeq and is a predicted model, not a curated record. The transcript has 3 exons. NCBI's taxonomy places the organism in Eukaryota, Metazoa, Chordata, Lepidosauria, Squamata, Gekkonidae.
GAGAGAAGAUUGCCGUUCCGAAGUAGAUCUAAGAUUCGUGUGAUCUACGAUUCGUACGAUUGGGCUUCUUUCAAUGUUUGGUCCGGUCUAGGAGGCAAUUUCCCGGCUUGAAGUACAUCGAUAUUUCUCGUGAGGUUUGCUUCUCUCCAAGUUUGUAAGUCAUUAAAGAGAUGCAUUUGCUGCGCAACAGUGCUUUGGAAGUUUCCCACAUCAAUUGAGCCGAAGUGUUAUUUUCAUUUUCCCUACUAAAAGAUGUGUUAAGUUCCUGCAUUAGUUGUUCUCGUAAUUUUGUUUCACACAAUAAAAUUGUAUUGAA